GUUGUGCAUUCAAAAGUUCUGCAAAGUGAAAAAGACCAAAAUCCACGUCAAGAGAGUUACUCUCUGCCACAGAAGCACUGCUGCUGCACGGUCUGAAACGCCUGGUUUGGAGUCGAGCCUUUACUUCUGUAAAUUAUAUGGACCUAGCCUUCAGCACUUACAUUUAAAAGGGAAACAGAAGAGUUGACUGAGGUUCAUCCACAUACCAGAAUCAAAUCCAACUGAAAGGGCCCCCAACAGCUUUACCAACUACCCAAAGGAUCAAAUUAAAAAUUGCUGUGCGGAUGCUGUAGCUUGUGUCUGCUGCUGCUUUGCCUGCCUGUGGAUUCUGCCUGCAUGCUGUCUCAUCUCCUGUGUUUCCCUGCCAAGCGAGUAUGCUCAGGAAGACAGACCUCACCACGCCUCACCGCGCCAUGACACCUUCACUCUCAUCUCUCCUGGUGAUUCUACAAGACAUGUCGGGACCCUGGGACCACAAACCAUCUCUUGCACUAUUUUCACCUAGUUGUUCAUUAAAAGAAUCAUUAUUCACUGUCA
Acanthopagrus latus (yellowfin seabream) is the source of this 537-nucleotide long non-coding RNA. RefSeq lists it as uncharacterized. Lineage: Eukaryota; Metazoa; Chordata; Actinopteri; Spariformes; Sparidae. The transcript has 4 exons. The record is from RefSeq and is a predicted model, not a curated record.